Molecule: ribosomal RNA, 469 nt
Filed under: uncultured bacterium
Lineage: Bacteria
Description: bacterial SSU rRNA
Rfam family: Bacterial small subunit ribosomal RNA
Source: RNAcentral
UCUGGCUCAGAUUGAACGCUGGCGGCAGGCUUAACACAUGCAAGUUGAGCGGAGAGAGGUAGCUUGCUACUGAACUUAGCGGCGGACGGGUGAGUAAAGCUUAGGAAUUUGCCUAUUAGUGGGGGACAACGUUUUGAAAGGAACGCUAAUACCGCAUAAAUCCUACGGGAGAAAGCAGGGGAUCACUUGUGACCUUGCGCUAAUAGAUGAGCCUAAGUUGGAUUAGCUAGUUGGUGGGGUAAAGGCCUUCCAAGGCGACGAUUUGUAGCGGGUUUGAGAGGAUGAUUCGCCCCCCUGGGACUGAGACACGGCCCAGACUCCUACGGGAGGCAGCAGUGGGGAAUAUUGGACAAUGGGGGGAACCCUGAUCCAACCAUGCCGCGUGUGUGAAGAAGGCCUUAUGGUUGUAAAGCACUUUAAGCGAGGAGGAGGGUACUUUGGUUAAUACCCAGGGAUAGUGGACGUUUAU